This is a long non-coding RNA of Ahaetulla prasina, 905 nucleotides long. RefSeq lists it as uncharacterized. The record is from RefSeq and is a predicted model, not a curated record. NCBI's taxonomy places the organism in Eukaryota, Metazoa, Chordata, Lepidosauria, Squamata, Colubridae. The transcript is spliced from 3 exons.
GAGCGCAGGAGACCCGUGCCCACUUCUCUCUGCUCUCACUGCCUGGAUCUCCGCUUCCCUCCGCGUGUCCCGCUUCGCCCUGGGAGGAUCGUCGGUGGAUCCCUCGGGAGAGCUUUCUGGAUUACGCUGGCGUCAGGAGACCAGGAGGAUGUGGCUGUGAAGUCCAGAGAGGAGAAAGAGGCGUUCUUGGAUCAGAAGCCACAACAUUUUGAUCAGGAUCCAUUCUUGAAAAUUUGGAAAUCUUGGCCCAGUUGGAGAAGCAGCUUCCUGCACAAAGGGCCAAUCGAUAAAGGAGAAAUCAAACUGGUCAGCAGUGAGGGUCAUCCCUGGCCUUCACUCAGAAAGCUAACAGAGACCUCUUAGCCGUAACUUUAAAGCAGAUAAAAGAUUGCGACCAGAUUUACCUGCAAGUCAACUGUCAACAGAUAGUAGAAAAUCAAAGCAAGGCAGCAGCCAAGAGGAAGCAUGGAGCCUGGGAAGCUCUUGGAUCCCCCGUCAGAUACAAGCAGCACUCCACAAAAUGACCAAAAACCCCAUGAAUGCUCAGAGUGUGGGAAAUUCUUUACUCUCCAGUCCCUCCUUUUGACCCACAGGAAGGUCCAUGUGGGAAGCGGAUCCAGUCAAGGUUUGGAGGGCGAGAAUUCCAACUCUGGAAAAGACGCCAAAGAUCUCAGAAGCUCCUCCACACUAAAAACCUAUAAAUGUGAGGAAUGUGACUUAUGCUUUGGGCUAAAGUCAAACCUUCGUACACAUCAGAAAAUCCACACUGGAGAGAAACCUUAUGAAUGUCUGGAAUGUGGGAAAUUUUUCCGUGAAAAAGCCACUCUCAUAAACCACGAGAUAAUUCACACAGGGGAGAAACCUUACAACUGUUGGGAAUGUGGGAAGAGCUUUUCUCAGAAGUC